GUCAGCUGUCGUGUCCCAAGGACACUCAGGCAGCCCAGUGGAGAGGCCCCUGGGGUCUCCAGCACAUUCAUGUGAGUGAAGUCCUCAAGGAAGCAGACCCUUCAGCUACAGUCAAACCUGCAGAUGCCUACAAACCUGGCUGACAUUCUGACAGCAAUCGCAAGAAAGCUCUUGAGACAGAUUCCUGACCUGCAGAAAGCAUGAAAUUAUGAUUGUUUGUGGUGUUAAACUGCUAAAUGUGGGGUAGUUCGUUAAAUAACAAAAGAUAACUAAUGGAUCCACUUUCCAGAAGCGUGAUGAGGAAUGAGCAAGAUAGAGCAGAUCAUCAAAUCCCCAAAGACUCGCUAUAAAUCGCUCCGCUUCCAUCCCAUAAUGACUUGGGCAGAAACAUUCUGAAUUAAAUGACGCUGUGACGUGAUUUAUGUACAUCUGGACUUUCAACCCAAUGACUUCCCAGCACUCCAUCAAUCUUUAUAAAGUCCUGGCAAUGUACUUGAAAAGAAUUGCAACGCUAAUGGAGGCAAGUCUGGACUCUUUAAAGUCUAGAGAUCUCACAGCACUUAUCUGCUGACAGCAACAUUAAGCCAGCCACAGUAAAAUUCUCAGGCAGUUUCCCUGGAAUACCAAAGACUCACCACCUGAGGGCUUUUCCCUUGAAACAUAUCCUGUUGCCGCCAGAAGUCGCCCCCAAGAACAGCCUUCAACCAGAGAUUUCCAGAAGUUGGUGAAUAAACACCCCGACUGCUUGGCUUUA
Long non-coding RNA from Mustela erminea (ermine), 754 nucleotides. RefSeq lists it as uncharacterized. The record is from RefSeq and is a predicted model, not a curated record. The transcript is spliced from 4 exons. Lineage: Eukaryota; Metazoa; Chordata; Mammalia; Carnivora; Mustelidae.